RNAcentral lists this long non-coding RNA (757 nucleotides) under Marmota monax (woodchuck). Lineage: Eukaryota; Metazoa; Chordata; Mammalia; Rodentia; Sciuridae. The record is from RNAcentral.
UAUGGUCCCCCUGGAGCUGUGUAGUGCUGUGAUCUAGCACACCUUGCUCCUUAUUGUCACCGUUUAAUCAUCUUCCAUCCUGGACUGUAAGAUCCACAUCUGCUUCUCUGCCCUAAGCCUAACACAGAGUCAAAACUCCAUUAAUAUUUGUUGAAUUAAUAAAUGAAACUUUAAGAGAGAAAUGGUUAAUAUAGAAGAAACAUGGGGAAAAAAUCUGGAAACUACACCUUUUUUUUUUUUUCUUUUUGGAAUGGCUUAACUGAAAAUAGUUUGGACAAAGGAAGAUGUAGAAGAGAUGUAACAGCUGAUUUCACUAAGUGAAGGACUAUUAUGGGAAGACAGAGAAUACAUUUUUUUAAAAUUUUAUCCCAGGAAGAUAAGCAGACAUACUGAAGGCAAGUUAUUUGGACCCAAUAGUAAAAUUAAAAAGAAUUUUCCAAUCAUGGGAGCUGACUGGAAAUGAAACAGGUGGCCCAAAAAGUAAUGAAUUCUUUCAUUUUCCAUGCUGAAGUAUGAGCUAGAUGUCCAUCUGUAGGAUCACUGUGGGCAGCAGUUAGACAAGAGAACCGUUGAGGGUCUCCUUCAAAGUGUCUGUGAUUUUAUUACCAUAGAGAAAUUGAACUUCAGCAUUUAUUCAAUGACUCUGUGUUUGUGGCACUAUUGGGGACAUGGGGGCUGGACAGUCAGGAUUGGCAGACAAUGUCAAGGAAAUAAUCAGAAGGUAGAAUCUUGCAGAAUAUCACUGGGCAUCUAAAUA